RNAcentral lists this ribosomal RNA (200 nucleotides) under uncultured bacterium. RNAcentral's name for it is "partial 16S ribosomal RNA". It matches the Rfam family "Bacterial small subunit ribosomal RNA", at positions 29 to 224 of the family's 1533-position model. The record is from RNAcentral.
AGUGAACGCUGGCGGUAGGCCUAACACAUGCAAGUCGAACGGCAGCACAGGAGAGCUUGCUCUCUGGGUGGCGAGUGGCGGACGGGUGAGGAAUACAUCGGAAUCUACCUUUUCGUGGGGGAUAACGUAGGGAAACUUACGCUAAUACCGCAUACGACCUUAGGGUGAGAGCGGAGGACCUUCGGGCUUCGCGCGGAUAG